GUUCGGCUUAGCUUCAGGACUCCACAUGGGUCGCCCAACAGGAAACAGCGUUGAAGUUGUCAGUGCAUUAAACCGCUAGGGGGCAAAGAUCUCUGUUGAAGAAUGUGAGGAAAAUGUGAGGCAACUCCGUCAUUACAGAACCUAUGGAAGUGUAUGGGAAGAAACAUGACAAAAACGGCCAGAAAACACCAGAGCAUGUCGCAUUUGGAAAAACUGCACCUGAUCAAAACAGUCACUAAGGCUAGGUCCACACUGUGCACACUGUGUAAAGGUAUUGUGAGUACCCAGGCAGAUUAGAGCAACAUGGUCAGAGGCUCCAUCGGUGGGAAAUCAACCCUCUUUUAAAGAGUCAAGCUGAGGAGUGAAGAGCUGCC
Hyla sarda is the source of this 374-nucleotide long non-coding RNA. RefSeq lists it as uncharacterized. NCBI's taxonomy places the organism in Eukaryota, Metazoa, Chordata, Amphibia, Anura, Hylidae. The transcript has 3 exons. The record is from RefSeq and is a predicted model, not a curated record.